AUGCCCGCUUGGGCUGCUUCUGCCUGCAGCUGUUGGGACAGUGCAGCUACAACGCCAAGCCUUCCCGACCCUCAGUCCUCACAUCUGUCAAAUGGGGAGAAUACCCCCCGCUGCAGGGCCCCUCCCAGGCCAAGGCAAUAUCGUGUUUAUAUUCAGAAAGAACAAGAUUCUAGAAAUGAAAGAUGGACUAUGGACACUCCCAGCUCAGCCGGUGGGCAGCUCUGCUUUGGACCUCGCUGGACGGGUGAAUCAGCGCUGGGCAGGGCAGGGCAGCCAGCGGAAGCCGUCCGACAGGACACCCGGCGCUGUGGGGCGUGCCCGGGGAUUGCAGGCCUGACGAGGAUGUUUGUCACCCUGUCCCCACCCAAGGGACACAGAGAGGACAUCCCCACCCCAGGGCCCCAGAGGGCAGCAUCUGAGUGUCGGGCCCCGCCCCACCUGCGCAGCCACCCCACCUUUGCUCACACACUGCCUCCCGCCUGGGGCUCCCUCACACCCAGCGUGCGUCUCCCAAACCCUCACUGUGAGGCGCCCUCAGUGUGCCCAGAGGCAGUCACAGGAGAUGGCCAUGGGUCCUGGCCGUGGCUGGCAAAGUGCGUCCACACCUGGUCUGCGGGACCGCCGCCCCCAACGAUGGAGAUGCCGCCUGUGCUCCCCAGCCAUGCACACAGAAGGUGCUCAGUGAGCGCGGAGAGAUGCUUAUCCCUACACGAGGCUGCAGCAGGCCUCCGAGGCCCAGAGAGGUUAAGCACCACGUCCCAGGCCACACAGCCCUGGGCAGGAGAGGCUGGGCUCGGACGUCCGUCAGCUCCCACAUCAGUGGUCCUGGCUCCAGGCUCUUGGUUCCGGUUUCUCAGAGCUGAGCAAGGCGUACCCAUGAAGGAGCUGGACAGCAGCCAGGCACCAAAUGGGCAGCGUCCGCGUGCCCGCUGUGUCACGUACUGGCUGUGUGGCCAGUGUGUCUCCUCGCCACUCUGCCUGUUUCCUCCCUCCUGGCGACAGCCGUCAUGA
This 1011-nucleotide long non-coding RNA is filed under the name Oryctolagus cuniculus (rabbit). RNAcentral describes it as "lncRNA (ENSOCUG00000037762.1)". Lineage: Eukaryota; Metazoa; Chordata; Mammalia; Lagomorpha; Leporidae. The record is from RNAcentral.